ACGAGAGUUACUAGUACCUACUUACUACUUUCCGUCGCUCUUGAUUUUUGAAUUAAUGGAAAUAUUCGAUGUUUCGGACUGGGAAUGACCAUAUAGCAAAAUAUUGAAGCAUUCUACUAUAUCUGGAGUUUCCCGAAUGUAAAGGCGAGUCAUCUCUUCCCAAAAUUCAUCCGAUGGAUAAAUUUCGCAUCACUAAGAAUAUUCGUGACUAUUCGGAUUAAUGCCACGGUCCAUGGCCCUGAAUAAGCAGUUUCGGUGGAGGUCUAAGCCGUGCCACAUCCAGCGAGGCAAGAAGGAUUCAGUGUCGUCAUUGGUUGAAGACGCAGUUCCUGGGUUAGGCUUCUGUGCAUCUAUCUUCUGCAGGGAUUGGUCGACUGGUCCAUCGCUCAGUUGCUUUGUCGCCCAAGUGAGCAGGGCAGUCAAGAAGCCAAUUUGAAACGGCAACUACCUGGAGGACGACAAAGUGUUCUCAGGUGCAGAAGCAGAGGGGAUCGUACAACUUAAAAGCUGUUCAAGUGUUUCAAGUAAUACUGAGACCAGAGAUGAAGCAGCAUCGAACAACUUUUGUCGUUAUGUUGAAACAUUUGCAGGCCUUCUCUUUCAAGAGUGAUUUUUCAUAGCAGCUUUCAAACAUAUUUUAAAAUAAGGAAAGACUGAGACUUCUUAAUUACCAAUAUGUUUAUGUCACGUUCAGCUUAGAAUUAUUGUUCAUACUUCAGUUUUUAAGAGAUAAAAUCGUCACAUAAGUCUCACGCCCUGCAGAGGUAUAUACUGUACUAUCAUUACACAUAUAAGAAUAAUGAAAAUUAACUCUAGGCUGAAGAAUUGCGUGGAUUAUUGUGUUUGUGCCUAUGAAUAUCAGUUUUUGUUCUUGCAUCACGUAUUCCUUAACAUGAACACGAGUUAUGGAGUUAUGUAUGCGGAUAAAAAUAUUGAAAGCUUUGUCGCUGGAUUGUACAAUGAAGAAUAGUUUAGAAGUAAUACCGGUAUUAAGGUAUCCCAU
Macrobrachium nipponense is the source of this 1003-nucleotide long non-coding RNA. RefSeq lists it as uncharacterized. The record is from RefSeq and is a predicted model, not a curated record. The transcript is spliced from 4 exons. NCBI's taxonomy places the organism in Eukaryota, Metazoa, Arthropoda, Malacostraca, Decapoda, Palaemonidae.